UAUUCAUAGAUUCCAGACAUUGUAUAGAAGAACAUUGUGAAACUCCCUGUCCUGUUCUGUUUCUCUCUGACCACCGGUACAUGCAGCCCCUGUCAUGUACCGCCUGCUUGCUCAAAUCAAUCACGACCCUUUCAUGUGAAAUCUUUAGUGUUAUGAGCCCUUAAAAGGGACAGAAAUUGUGCAUUCGGGGAGCUUGGAUUUUAAGGCAGUACCUUGCCAAUGCUCCCAGCUGAAUAAAGCCCUUCCUUCUACAACUAGGUGUCUGAGAGGUUUUGUCUGCGACUCGUCCUGCUACAUUUCUUGGUUCCCUGACCAGGAAGCGAGGUGACUGACGGACGGCCGAGGCAGCCCCUUAGGUGGCUUAAGCCUGCCCUGUGGAGCAUCCCUGAGGGGGACUCUGGCCAGCCUGAGUGAUGUGGUCCGAAGAGCGCUUGGGUAGGAAAUUGCCCCUGUGGAAUGCCUCGUCAGAGCAGCGCAUAGCAGGCCCCCACGGAGGAUUAACACAGUGGCUGAACACUGGGAAGGAACUGGCCCUUGGAGUCCAGACAUCUGAAACUUGAUGCAGAAAGCAAUAUUUAACUGAUCAGCUGCCACUCACAUCAUGAAUCAGAAGCAGCCUUAAAAGAAAGGAUCCCUUCUUGCUAUUUUGAAGGGAAAUAACUGAGUCCUUUGGAGCUGAAAAUGAAAAACUGAGUAGCUGGUGGAAGAAGCGAGAUGGGUUUGGAACUCACAGGCUAUGUUUCUGGAUGCAUCACAUUUGCAAGAGGGAAGUUUUGGUGUCCCUGUGGGUAUAUUAGCACUCCUUUACUCCAUUUCUCUGUAGCUACUCAAGCAAGUGACAAGUAAGUAUGUUGAGACCACAUGUGACAUAUAAAUUACAAGUUCUCCUGCCCCUCUAAAAGUUUAUUCAGCAUCAACCUUUGCACCAACACACUAAGGCAUAAUAGCUGAUAAUUUAUGAGUGUAAUUUGAAGGAAGCAAUUCUGUUUUGUGAUUAUGGUAGUAAAUAAAAGAUUCAAAUCCUCAUUGACACACCAUGAAAUUCAGCUUUACUUUUUUUUUUUUAACCUUGAUAUUGUUUAUGGAAAGAAGGCUGCAGAGUCCAAGAAAGGUGACAGAUAUGAAGAAAUGCAGUGGUUGCAAAGGACAAAGACAAUGGCAACACAAAUAAAAGAAAUUAUGAGAAGGAAAUAAAUAUUAAAAAAAAAACCCAAACGUUUGUUGAUGUAAACUGAAAAUAAAUUUGGAAUGAGCUGUGUGCACUUGGAAAUGAGAAGCUCUGUCCUGCACCAUGAAGGGCUUUGUGUGCAUCCAUGGGUUGCUUCUGCAUGCAGAAUGAGACUGGAACAAAAAAGAACCAUUUAAAACACAGGAUCCAGGUGAUUCAGGAUUUUAAAUUGAAGAUUGAUCAUACAAGCUGGAAGACGUCCCAUGACACUUUAUUUGAAAUUGGAACAUCAGAAUUUGGUUGGGUCUAUCUUUUACUAACUCUGUACCAUGAAAAAAUUAUUUAAUAUUUCUGAACUGUGUAAAGAAUAAAAUUAGAUUAUGAAUUCAAUCUGUUGCUGCAUAAUCAAUUACCUCCAAUCUUAGCAGCUUCAAACAACAAACAUAAAUAAACUUAGUUUCUGCAGCUCAGGAAUUCAGGAGUUUAGCUAGAUGGUUCUGGCUUGGAGUCUUCCAUGAGGUUGCCAUCUAGAGGUCAGCCAAGGCUGCAGUCAUUUGAAGGUUUGACUGGGGCUUGAGAAUUCACUCUCAUGGCUAGUCACAUGUUCACUUCUGUGUUGGCUGUUGGCAGGAAUUUUCAGAACCUUGCCAUGUGGGUCUCUCCAUAUGGCUGCUUAAGCAUCCUCAUGACACGUCAGCUGGUCUCCCCAGUGGGAGUGAUCGAAGAGACAGAAGCAAGAAUGUCUUCAAUGACCUACCCUUGUAAGUCACAUACCUCACUUUCACCUAAUCCUCAAAAGGAGAGAGUUAGACUCCACCUUUUGGAGGCAAGAAUGUCAAAGAAUUUGUGGACAUAUUUCAAAACCAUCACUGGAUCAUAUAUGUGAAAAUAAACACUUACAAAAAAUAAAGUGCUAUAAAUGGGAUACAUUCAGAUAAGGAACCCUUCUUUCAAUGCCAUCCCAGAAUUCCCUCAGCUUAAUUCUCCCAGAAGCUUCAAGACCUUCUAAAAUUGUUUGGGCUUGGUCUUUAUAGUCUGGAGGCACCAAAAGCCUGAGAUUUGUAUAGAUUAAGGAAGAAUCAGAAUCUAAGAGACAUUAAAUGACUAGCCAAAGAUCACACUGCUAGUUGGUGGAAGUCCGAGGAGUUUGUCCUAAGUGUGCCUAACUUCAAAUCCCCUCAUCUUAAUCAUUGUGUCACAUCAUGUCAUAAAAAUGGAUGAAAGAAGAAAGAAGACACAAACACCCAGUAUUAUUUUAGGACAAUUUCAUGGCAUUAAGUGUGGAUUUUCGUUUUAGCUAACAUUUUCAUGAAGGAAAAUCUUUGAGGAUGUUCUCUCCAUUAAAAAAAGAAGGAAAAAAACUCAAGAUAAUUAUAGAUUUACAUGCAGUUGUAAAAGUUAGUAAUGUAAAGAGAAGGCUUGUACACUUUGCCUAAUUUCCCCAGUGGUAACUUUUUUAGAGCUAUAGUAUGAUAUCACAACCAGGAUAUUGACAUCAGUCAAUCCACUGAUCUUAUUCAGUUUUCCUAAGUUUACUCUUUAAUGUGUGUGUGAAGUUCUACACAAUUUUAUUACUCGUAUAAGUUCGUGUAUCAUCACCCUGGUUAAAAUACUGAGGGGUUCCAGUGCCACAAGGAUCCCUCCUAUUCUUUUUGAGCCACACCCAUUCCCCUUCUUCCCCAAUUUCUCCACCUCCCUUUCUAACUAUCUGCCACUAGUCUGUCCUCCAUUUCUAAAAUUUUGUCAUUUCAAAAAUUUAAUAUAAGUGGAAUUAUGUAGUAUACAACAAUUUGGAGUUUUGUUUUUGCUCAACAUGAUUUCCUAAAGAUUCAUUCAAGUAGUUCUGUAUAUCGAUAGUGUAUUUCUUUUUAUUGCUGAGUAGUAUUACAAUUUUGUUUAACCAUUCAACUCUUUUUUGUUAGUUUCUUUUUGUUUUUGAGAUGGAGUCUGUUGCCCAGGCUGGAAUGCAGCAGCGCGAUCUCUGCUCACAGCAACCUCUGCCUCCUGUGUUCAAGCUAUUCUCCAGCCUCAGCCUCCUGAGUAGCUGAGAUUACAGGCGUGAGCCACAGCGCCCACCCUAGCCAUUCAACUCUGAAGCACAUCUGGGUUGAUACCAGUUUUGGGCUGUUACAAUAAAACUUCUAUGAACAUUCACGCACAAAUUUUUGUGGGAACAUACGUUUUCAUUUCUCUAGGAUAGAUGUACAGGAAUAAAAUUCUGGGUCAUAUGGUAGUUGCAUGUUUAAAUAUUUAAGAAACUGCUAAACUGCUUUCCAGAGUGUCUGUACCAUUUCACAGUCCUAAAAGCGAUGUAUGAAUGAUCCAGUUUCACCAUUUCCUCAUCAGCAUUUGGUGUUGUAAUUCUCAUUUUAAUAAUGCUUAUAGAUGUGUGGUGAUAUCUCAUUAUGGUGUUCAUUUGUAUUUCUCUAAUGACCAAUAAAUAUUUAACAUAUUUCCAUG
Long non-coding RNA from Homo sapiens (human), 3628 nucleotides. RefSeq lists it as uncharacterized. The record is from RefSeq and is a predicted model, not a curated record. The transcript has 6 exons. Lineage: Eukaryota; Metazoa; Chordata; Mammalia; Primates; Hominidae.